RNAcentral lists this ribosomal RNA (462 nucleotides) under uncultured bacterium. Its description in RNAcentral is "partial 16S ribosomal RNA". It matches the Rfam family "Bacterial small subunit ribosomal RNA", at positions 338 to 795 of the family's 1533-position model. The record is from RNAcentral.
CCUACGGGUGACAGCAGUGAGGAAUAUUGGUCAAUGGGCGAGAGCCUGAACCAGCCAAGUCGCGUGAAGGAUGACGGCCCUACGGGUUGUAAACUUCUUUUGUCAGGGAGCAAUUGAGUCCACGUGUGGUCUUAGCGAGAGUACCUGAAGAAAAAGCAUCGGCUAACUCCGUGCCAGCAGCCGCGGUAAUACGGAGGAUGCGAGCGUUAUCCGGAUUUAUUGGGUUUAAAGGGUGCGUAGGCGGCAUAAUAAGUAGCUAGUGAAAUCUGGUGGCUCAACCAUUCAGACUAUUAGCUAAACUGUUAAGCUCGAGACCGUUAGGGGUAACUGGAAUUUCUAGUGUAGGAGUGAAAUCCGUAGAUAUUAGAAGGAACACCAAUAGCGUAGGCAGGUUACUGGGACGGUUCUGACACUAAGGCACGAAAGCGUAGGGAGCAAACGGGAUUAGAUACCCUGGUAGUC